RNAcentral lists this transfer RNA (77 nucleotides) under Candidatus Babelota bacterium. RNAcentral describes it as "tRNA-Arg". It matches the Rfam family "tRNA". Rfam says of the family: Transfer RNA (tRNA) molecules are approximately 80 nucleotides in length. Their secondary structure includes four short double-helical elements and three loops (D, anti-codon, and T loops). The record is from RNAcentral.
GCGCCCGUAGCUCAGCUGGAUAGAGUGUUGGAUUCCGAAUCCAAAGGUCGCAGGUUCGACUCCUGCCGGGCGCACCA